AUUGAACGCUGGCGGCAUGCCUUACACAUGCAAGUCGAACGGCAGCACGGGAGCAAUCCUGGUGGCGAGUGGCGAACGGGUGAGUAAUAUAUCGGAACGUGCCCAGUCGUGGGGAUAACGUAGCGAAAGCUACGCUAAUACCGCAUACGAUCUAUGGAUGAAAGCGGGGGAUCGCAAGACCUCGCGCGAUUGGAGCGGCCGAUAUCAGAUUAGGUAGUUGGUGAGGUAAAGGCUCACCAAGCCGACGAUCUGUAGCUGGUCUGAGAGGACGACCAGCCACACUGGGACUGAGACACGGCCCAGACUCCUACGGGAGGCAGCAGUGGGGAAUUUUGGACAAUGGCGCAAGCCUGAUCCAGCAAUGCCGCGUGCAGGAUGAAGGCCUU
This 386-nucleotide ribosomal RNA is filed under the name uncultured bacterium. RNAcentral describes it as "bacterial SSU rRNA". It matches the Rfam family "Bacterial small subunit ribosomal RNA", at positions 30 to 418 of the family's 1533-position model. The record is from RNAcentral.